RNAcentral lists this ribosomal RNA (492 nucleotides) under uncultured bacterium. Its description in RNAcentral is "partial 16S ribosomal RNA". It matches the Rfam family "Bacterial small subunit ribosomal RNA", at positions 29 to 507 of the family's 1533-position model. The record is from RNAcentral.
AGUGAACGCUGGCGGUAGGCCUAACACAUGCAAGUCGAACGGCAGCACAGUAAGAGCUUGCUCUUACGGGUGGCGAGUGGCGGACGGGUGAGGAAUACAUCGGAAUCUACUUUUUCGUGGGGGAUAACGUAGGGAAACUUACGCUAAUACCGCAUACGACCUACGGGUGAAAGCAGUGGAUCUUCGGACCUUGCGCGAUUGAAUGAGCCGAUGUCGGAUUAGCUAGUUGGCGGGGUAAAGGCCCACCAAGGCGACGAUCCGUAGCUGGUCUGAGAGGAUGAUCAGCCACACUGGAACUGAGACACGGUCCAGACUCCUACGGGAGGCAGCAGUGGGGAAUAUUGGGCAGUGGGCGCAAGCCUGAUCCAGCCAUACCGCGUGGGUGAAGAAGGCCUUCGGGUUGUAAAGCCCUUUUGUUGGGAAAGAAAAGCAGCAGGUUAAUACCCCGCUGUUCUGACGGUACCCAAAGAAUAAGCACCGGCUAACUUCGUG